This 666-nucleotide ribosomal RNA is filed under the name Fusarium solani. RNAcentral describes it as "SSU rRNA". It matches the Rfam family "Eukaryotic small subunit ribosomal RNA", at positions 699 to 1368 of the family's 1831-position model. Lineage: Eukaryota; Fungi; Ascomycota; Sordariomycetes; Hypocreales; Nectriaceae. The record is from RNAcentral.
GGGCGGGCCUUUCCCUCAGCGGAACCCCAUGCCCAUCACUGGGUGUGGCGGGGAAACAGGACUUUUACUGUGAAAAAAUUAGAGUGCUCCAGGCAGGCCUAUGCUCGAAUACAUUAGCAUGGAAUAAUAGAAUAGGACGUGUGGUUCUAUUUUGUUGGUUUCUAGGACCGCCGUAAUGAUUAAUAGGGACAGUCGGGGGCAUCAGUAUUCAAUUGUCAGAGGUGAAAUUCUUGGAUUUAUUGAAGACUAACUACUGCGAAAGCAUUUGCCAAGGAUGUUUUCAUUAAUCAGGAACGAAAGUUAGGGGAUCGAAGACGAUCAGAUACCGUCGUAGUCUUAACCAUAAACUAUGCCGACUAGGGAUCGGACGRUGUUAUAUUUUGACYCGUUCGGCACCUUACGAGAAAUCAAAGUGCUUGGGCUCCAGGGGGAGUAUGGUCGCAAGGCUGAAACUUAAAGAAAUUGACGGAAGGGCACCACCAGGGGUGGAGCCUGCGGCUUAAUUUGACUCAACACGGGGAAACUCACCAGGUCCAGACACAAUGAGGAUUGACAGAUUGAGAGCUCUUUCUUGAUUUUGUGGGUGGUGGUGCAUGCCGUUCUUAGUUGGUGGAGUGAUUUGUCUGCUUAAUUGCGAUAACGAACGAGAACUUAACCUGCUAAAUA